GAUGAACGCUGGCGGCGUGCUAACACAUGCAAGUCGAACGAGAUGCGUAUUGGAAAGCUUCGGCCGGAAGAUACGUUAUCUAGUGGCGGACGGGUGAGUAACACGUGGGUAACCUGCCUUAUGGAGGGGGAUAACAGAGAGAAAUCACUGCUAAUACCGCAUAAGCACACAGUACCGCAUGGUACAGGGUGAAAAGAUUUAUCGCCAUAAGAUGGACCCGCGUCUGAUUAGCCAGUUGGCAGGGUAAAAGCCUACCAAAGCAACGAUCAGUAGCCGAUCUGAGAGGAUGACCGGCCACAUUGGGACUGAGACACGGCCCAAACUCCUACGGGAGGCAGCAGUGGGGAAUAUUGCACAAUGGGGGGAAACCCUGAUGCAGCGACGCCGCGUGAGUGAAGAAGUAUUUCGGUAUGUAAAGCUCUAUCAGCAGGGAAGAUAAUGACAGUACCUGACUAAGAAGCCCCGGCUAACUACGUGCCAGCAGCCGCGGUAAUACGUAGGGGGCAAGCGUUAUCCGGAUUUACUGGGUGUAAAGGGAGCGUAGACGGAAUGGCAAGUCUGAAGUGAAAUACCCGGGCUCAACCUGGGAACUGCUUUGGAAACUGUUGUUCUAGAGUGUUGGAGAGGUAAGUGGAAUUCCUGGUGUAGCGGUGAAAUGCGUAGAUAUCAGGAAGAACACCGGAGCGAAGGCGGCUUACUGGACAAUAACUGACGUUGAGGCUCGAAAGCGUGGGGAUCAAACAGG
Molecule: ribosomal RNA, 745 nt
Filed under: uncultured Oribacterium sp.
Lineage: Bacteria; Bacillati; Bacillota; Clostridia; Lachnospirales; Lachnospiraceae
Description: bacterial SSU rRNA
Rfam family: Bacterial small subunit ribosomal RNA
Source: RNAcentral